RNAcentral lists this ribosomal RNA (253 nucleotides) under uncultured bacterium. RNAcentral's name for it is "partial 16S ribosomal RNA". It matches the Rfam family "Bacterial small subunit ribosomal RNA", at positions 524 to 776 of the family's 1533-position model. The record is from RNAcentral.
UACGUAGGGGGCAAGCGUUGUCCGGAAUCAUUGGGCGUAAAGAGCGUGUAGGCGGUUCGAUAAGUCGGCUGUGAAAGUCCAGGGCUCAACCCUGGGAUGCCGGUCGAUACUGCCGGACUAGAGUUCGGAAGAGGCGAGUGGAAUUCCCGGUGUAGCGGUGAAAUGCGCAGAUAUCGGGAGGAACACCUAUGGCGAAGGCAGCUCGCUGGGACGUUACUGACGCUGAGACGCGAAAGCGUGGGGAGCAAACAGG